AUGAGCCUUUCUUCCUGCACUAAGCCCUGAGAGCGGGGUGGACUAUUUUGAAAGCGAAGUACAAAGAAAUGGCCGUGUAAUUCAGAAGUUGACACUGAGUUCAAGGUAAAGUCUCAGUUUUUCUCUCUUAAAACUAUUCUCUGAAAAGAAUUGUUUAUAAAACGUUCAGGGGAGGAGCUGGUUUCCCCAGUGCCUUUCCCUUCCUCUCAUUUUCCUUCUGUUUCACAAGUAUGUAUUCUGCUCAUUUGCUCACUCAUCCAUUUAUUUAUUCAGUAAACAUUUUAGAGUACCCACUGAAUGCUGUGCCUUGGAAUAGGUGUUGGGGAUGCUACCCAUAAUCCCCAUCAUUGAAUUGAUAUUAGGGACUGAGGACAGCAUGUGUCUUUUCUGUUUCUCUCUCUGUUAUCCUCACCUACACAUAGAUGGUUGCAUAUAUUUAUGUGUUGUAUAGGCAUAUUCACGGUACAGGAGAUAAUCACAACUACUGCAGAAAGUAGUCAUAAGCAUGAAGUCUGGAGGGCAAGUGAUAACACUUCACUUUAACAUCGGACAUGUUUUGAGGGACCCAGGUCCAUGACGUAGCCAGACUCUGAGCCAGACAGAGGGAAAAGUUCCAUAUCUCUGUGUGUGGUGGGAUGGUGGUGGCUGAGGAAACACUGUGGAGGGAUUACUAAGUGGACAGACCUGCACAGAGGUGCUCCGUUCAGCCUCUUCUUCUGUGAUGAUAGGCAACCACUUUCCAAACUACCCUCCCUGGCUGCUUCUUGAAGUUGUGGGUCUGUUCUGGCCAGUGACUUUUGAUGAGAAAGUCUCUGAAUACGAUUUUCUCUCCUUAAGGUAUGUUUACAAAAGGGCAUCCACUGUUGUCUUCUAAUAUCGUUCAAGCAUAGUGAGAGGCUUCCCUGCCAGCCAUUGUGUGAUGGUGACAGUAAAAAACCAAGACCUCCAGGGGUGGGAGAGGAAAGCAGCUGGUUUUCUCAUAAUAUAUGUGCCCGGGUAACUCUGAGAGAUCAUACGUGCUAAACAUCUUCUCGUUUGUUUGUGUUUUUAAAAUAUGUACGAGGGAUUUGUCUACAAGUAUGUCUGUGUACCAUGUGCAUGCCUGGUGCCUUCAACAGCCAGAGAAGAGCUUAGAUCCCCUAGAACUGGAGUCACAGAUUGUUCGGAGCUGCGAUGUGGGUGGUGGGACUCGGCCCAGGUUCUCUGGAAGAGCAGCCAGUGCUCUCAGCCACGGAGGCAUCUACUCAUCGCCUGCAUCUGUAUUGAAGAGAAAAUGCCAUGAAACUGCUUGGAUGUGACCGUGUAACUCACAGAGGCAAACCCCCUCAAGGGGCUGAUCAUGGGAUAUAUUCCUGAUGUCCUUUGUCGUCUUCAUGAUCUUGUGGAAAGAAUGAGCCUCCAACCUUAUUUUGCUUGACAAAUUAAACUCACUGGAAUAG
This is a long non-coding RNA of Mus musculus (house mouse), 1439 nucleotides long. RefSeq annotates it as RIKEN cDNA 4930453L07 gene. The transcript is spliced from 3 exons. The record is from RefSeq and is marked validated. NCBI's taxonomy places the organism in Eukaryota, Metazoa, Chordata, Mammalia, Rodentia, Muridae.